Molecule: long non-coding RNA, 136 nt
Organism: Sapajus apella (tufted capuchin)
Lineage: Eukaryota; Metazoa; Chordata; Mammalia; Primates; Cebidae
Exons: 4
Source: RefSeq, a predicted model, not a curated record
CAACAUGGCUAUUUACUCACCUGGGUGCAGGUGGGCUAAGGCUGAAAAGGGCAUUAGCAAAGGGCAGUGAGAUAGGAGUUAGUUUUAUAGGUUUGAGGUGGGCGGUGGAAACUACACACAUUACUUUAGGGUGUUU